RNAcentral lists this ribosomal RNA (476 nucleotides) under uncultured bacterium. Its description in RNAcentral is "bacterial SSU rRNA". It matches the Rfam family "Bacterial small subunit ribosomal RNA", at positions 28 to 507 of the family's 1533-position model. The record is from RNAcentral.
GAUGAACGCUAGCGGGAGGCUUAACACAUGCAAGUCGAGGGGUAGGGGAGCAAUCCCCGAGACCGGCGGACGGGUGCGUAACGCGUAUGCAACUUGCCUUAUACAGGGGGAUAGCCCGUGGAAACGCGGAUUAAUACCCCAUAUGUCAUUUGGGUCGCAUGGUCUGGAUGAUAAAACUGAGGUGGUAUAAGAUGGGCAUGCGUCUGAUUAGCUGGUUGGUAAGGUAACGGCUUACCAAGGCGACGAUCAGUAGGGGUUCUGAGAGGAUAAUCCCCCACACUGGUACUGAGACACGGACCAGACUCCUACGGGAGGCAGCAGUGAGGAAUAUUGGUCAAUGGGCGCGAGCCUGAACCAGCCAUUCCGCGUGAAGGAAGAAGGCCUUAUGGGUUGUAAACUUCUUUUCUGUAAGAGGAAAAGUCCCGACGUGUCGGGAUGUGACGGUAUUAUAGGAAUAAGCAUCGGCUAACUCCGUG